This 342-nucleotide ribosomal RNA is filed under the name Triticum aestivum (bread wheat). RNAcentral describes it as "partial small subunit ribosomal RNA". The record is from RNAcentral. Lineage: Eukaryota; Viridiplantae; Streptophyta; Magnoliopsida; Poales; Poaceae.
AUGCUGAAUAUUCUCUCUGACCUUUACAAAGGAUUUUUAGGUAUGCGAUUAGCUUUAACAAUAACAACAACAACAACAACAACAACAACGACGACGACGACGACGACGACAACAACAACAACAACAACAACAACAACAAUAACAACCCAUGGUGCUGGCACAUGGAUAGCAACCUUCCACACACCCCUGCCCAUAGCUAGUUUGUUGGUGAUACUCCAAUCCUUCAUAUAUCUCUUAACAGACUCCUCCCGUGUCAAAUUUGGUCUACCCCGACCUCUCUUGACAUUCUUCGCACGCCUUAGCCGCCCGCUAUGCACUGGAGCUUCUGGAGGCCUGCGCUGA